UGCUGCAUGGCUGCGUCAGCUCGUGUCGUGAGAUGUGGGUUAAGUCCCGCAACGAGCGCAACCCUGCAUUCAGUUGCCAUCGGGUAAUGCCGGGCACUCUGGAAGGACUGCCAUCGACAAGAUGGAGGAAGGUGGGGAUGACGUCAAGUCAUCAUGGCCCUUACGGCCUGGGCUACACACGUGCUACAAUGGUCGGUACAAAGGGUUGCCAAGCCGCGAGGUGGAGCUAAUCCCAUAAAACCGAUCGUAGUCCGGAUCGCAGUCUGCAACUCGACUGCGUGAAGUCGGAAUCGCUAGUAAUCGUGAAUCAGAAUGUCACGGUGAAUACGUUCCCGGGCCUU
Molecule: ribosomal RNA, 341 nt
Filed under: uncultured Synergistaceae bacterium
Lineage: Bacteria; Thermotogati; Synergistota; Synergistia; Synergistales; Synergistaceae
Description: bacterial SSU rRNA
Rfam family: Bacterial small subunit ribosomal RNA
Source: RNAcentral